Molecule: ribosomal RNA, 446 nt
Filed under: uncultured bacterium
Lineage: Bacteria
Description: partial 16S ribosomal RNA
Rfam family: Bacterial small subunit ribosomal RNA
Source: RNAcentral
CCUACGGGUGGCAGCAGUCGAGAAUCAUUCACAAUGGGGGAAACCCUGAUGGUGCGACGCCGCGUGGGGGAAUGAAGGUCUUCGGAUUGUAAACCCCUGUCAUGUGGGCGCAAAUUAAAAAGAUAGUACCACAAGAGGAAGAGACGGCUAACUCUGUGCCAGCAGCCGCGGUAAUACAGAGGUCUCAAGCGUUGUUCGGAAUCACUGGGCGUAAAGCGUGCGUAGGCUGUUUCGUGAGUCGUGUGUGAAAGGCGAGGGCUCAACCCGCGGACGGCACAUGAUACUGCGAGACUAGAGUAAUGGAGGGGGAACCGGAAUUCUCGGUGUAGCAGUGAAAUGCGUAGAUAUCGAGAGGAACACUCGUGGCGAAGGCGGGUUCCUGGACAUUAACUGACGCUGAGGCACGAAGGCCAGGGGAGCGAAAGGGAUUAGAUACCCCUGUAGUC